Molecule: long non-coding RNA, 391 nt
Organism: Armigeres subalbatus
Lineage: Eukaryota; Metazoa; Arthropoda; Insecta; Diptera; Culicidae
Exons: 3
Source: RefSeq, a predicted model, not a curated record
AAUACUUAUUUUUAUUUUGCCGUCGCGCGAGUUUGUGGAACCUAAGAAAGCCAUUAGAUUUUUUCCGGAUGAAAGGCUAACCGGAUUCCAAUGGUGGAAAGAAAGCUGAUACCGGAUAAUCGGAUACUAGAGCAGAAUCGAUACCGGCAAAGGAAUAAUUUACCUCCAGGCGGUUUACCAAAAGAGGAAAACAUCCGCCUUCAGAACUAACCGGAUAUUGAGAAUAUAAAAUCAACAUCAGGUCCACAAAUGGCGGCGAAACAGCCUAUUUGGAACCGGAUGGUUUACCUUCAGACUAUACAGACAUCAGCUAAAUAUACAAGGUUAGAGGAUACAAAAAGUAAUAGCGGAAUGCAAAUAAAAUAAUUGUCAUAAAUAAAUACGAAUUAAA